RNAcentral lists this ribosomal RNA (431 nucleotides) under uncultured bacterium. Its description in RNAcentral is "bacterial SSU rRNA". It matches the Rfam family "Bacterial small subunit ribosomal RNA", at positions 491 to 924 of the family's 1533-position model. The record is from RNAcentral.
GAUCGGCUAACUCCGUGCCAGCACCCGCGGUAAUACGGAGGAUCCAAGCGUUAUCCGGAUUUAUUGGGUUUAAAGGGUGCGUAGGCGGCCUGUUAAGUCAAGGGUGAAAGACGGUCCCUCAACUAUCGCAGUGCCCUUGAUACUGAUGGGCUUGAAUUGACUAGAGGUAAGCGGAAUGUGACUAGUAGCGGUGAAAUGCAUAGAUAUGUCACAGAACACCGAUUGCGAAGGCAGCUUACUAUGGUCUUAUUGACGCUGAGGCACGAAAGCGUGGGGAUCAAACAGGAUUAGAUACCCUGGUAGUCCACGCCCUAAACGAUGAAUACUCGCUGUUGGCGAUACACAGUCAGCGGCUAAGCGAAAGCGUUAAGUAUUCCACCUGGCGAGUACGCCCGCAAGGGUGAAACUCAAAUGAAUUGACGGAUGACCGG